This is a long non-coding RNA of Columba livia (rock pigeon), 2942 nucleotides long. RefSeq lists it as uncharacterized. The transcript has 8 exons. Lineage: Eukaryota; Metazoa; Chordata; Aves; Columbiformes; Columbidae. The record is from RefSeq and is a predicted model, not a curated record.
UGAAAUUGGAAAUGUCAGCAGACAGUGUUUCUCUGGAGUCUGCAUGAACCCUUUCUGGGUUUCUGCCAGGGUAUUCAUCCCUGAGCCCAACAAGCAGGUUAUGAGGGAUCCGGACUGCCAGGAGUCAAUAGAUCUGUAGCAUCCCCAGUGCAUUACUGAUCCUGCAGUCAGCAGUUCAAGCACGUAAUGUUUGCAGCUCUGCUAUUUGGAUCUGCUGAAUCUCCUGGAUGAGAACACUGGAGUUUCAACAUGCCAGGUAAUGAAGCGUACAGUUUGUGUUCCCUCACUGGGCUGGCUGCCUGUCAGGGUUUCUGAGGAAUCUGGGCUGCUGUCCAGAUUUGGUGGGACUGGGCUUUUCAGUAUUUGCACAGCAGGCAGUCUCUGCUAAUGCUCUGGAACAGGACUCUCAGUCAAAGGUUUGACCUUAAAAAGGAAGGGGGGAGGGAAACCAAUUUUCAAUGAAGCUGGUUUGAAAUUCAACUUCUGAAGUGCUCCAUGUAAUGGAAUUUUCUUGCUCAGACUAGCUCUUACAGUUAUUCACAGCAGCAUUUCUAGGUGUAGAGAAACUCAUACUUCAACUACUUGCUGACAUAAAUGCCUCGCUGUUCCCAGGAAAGGUUAAUUUCUGUGAAGAGGAACUGGCAGAUGCAAAUCCAGUGUGACUUAGAACAACAGGACUUUCUGUAUAUGAGCAGAUAAACCUAGCCACAAGCUAAUGGGUCCAAGGAGAUAACAGCUGGUUACCUGUGAAGUAUAUUAUCAGCAUUUAAAUAAGUAAGGGCUGAUGCUACUUUACCACUUGAUUAAGAAACUUUGGAAUGCUGUUAUAUAUGGGAUGAAGCACUUAACAGUUAUAAGUCAGGGAGCUGAUUUAACAGCUUAUCUUGUAGCCAUCUUGCUGUUUCAUUAUUAAAACCAAACACUUGCCACUAUGCAUACUAACAGCAGGAGAAUUUCCCAUCGGUGGUGUAAUUGCUUUUGUCAGUUUGUUUCAAAGUAAAAAGGUGCUGCUGUUUCACAGCAAAUUUGGUCACAAAGGUUCCUUCAUAGCAACUGCUGACCACUGGUGUUCUGCCAAAGUUGUAAUAGAAAACAUUCCCUCUUUACUUUGCAAUAUACUUGUCUGGACUGUGUGCCUCUAAAGCCAGGGAAGAGGGGAAGUAGGGCUGAGAGCCUACAUCAAAUCAUUUGAUACCAAACUUGUUUGGCUUUAAGGUCGUAGAUCUUAAAAAACAAGCAAGAAACAGAAAGACACAAUAUGACAUUGCUUGAAGAUGGAAAAUUGCAAUGCAGUUGGCAACUAGCACCAGGUGUCAGUUUCAAAAUACUAGUGGAUAUUCACCCCAAUUAAAAUAAUGAAUUCAGUCAUCUCUGCUUUCUCUCUUCCUGAAGGAUGGAUGAUAAGUUGAUGCUCCAGAAGCUGUGUGAUGGAUAUAUAACAAUACCUUGUACAUCAUCGUUUGCAUCCAACAUGCUUCACAGAUAAAGGUGACCUUCGACGAAAUACCCUGUUUUGUUCUAUACCAGUUGAAGUUGUGCAAGAUGAAAGGAAUUGACUGCAACUAGAAUGAACUUAUGUGAGUCACACAAAGUAGAGACUGCUUCAGGAUGGUAAAGAGAGCAGGAGAACAUGGAGAAAAAUCCCACUUCACACUGCAGAUGUCAGGAGAGUUGAGGUGAUGAUGGGUAAGACCCCACCUGGACUGCUGCUCAGCCCAAGGAAUAUGGAGAAGCCUUCCAGCUUCUGCUGCACUAUGGAAGCUGAAGCUCUGAUGGGUAAUCCAGUGCAUGUGAGAGAAUAAGGACAUGAUGUAACUGAACAGUAGCUCUGAAUUUGUUUAAUUAGAAGAAUUGGAAAUAUCUCAAUAUUUCUGGAGCAGAAUACCAGAAGGAAAGUAUAAAGGAAACUAAAGAAAAUGGGUGGCUUUUUUGAGUCUCGGUGUCACUGAGCAGAAGAGAAGGAGGAAUGUACUAUUGCAGAACAAUGAACCCAGUCCACCCCACAUUCUCCAUGAGAUCUUUGGACAUGUAAAAUUGAUAGCUUUUAUAUUUCCUUGAUUUCUUCAGAAAAGACUGGGAAACGGGCUGCAGUCAUACCACCUUCUUAUAGCAUAGAAGAGUCAUUUCCUAAGAAGUUAAAUUAGUCAGUCCCCAAAAAUCAUGUCCUUCAGGCAAGGUGCUUAGUCCAUUUGCCCCAAGCUGCCCCUCUGGCAGGGAGUUGCUCUCACUGCUCACCACCUGCAGCCCUGAGGCACCAGCACCACAACUAAUCACCCAGGUUUUGGAUGACUGUUCUCUUUGCCCCGCUUCACCAUGCUUUACUGGUAGCUUCAAAAGUGCAAACAAAAAAUGCUGAAUAAUUAUUAAUCAAGGAGGCAUUUUUGUUUGAAGUCCAAAUGUUUCAGCAUCUUUCAAAUUCCAGAAGUCAAAAACUAAAUUAAAUUAAGAUCCAGUUGGGCACUGCAGUGACCAGCAUGCUCACAUUGCCAGGGUGCCAGCACCCAGUAUGUGCAAAAGCUGCAUGUGCAGAAGAUGAAAGAGAGUUCACAUGCAGUCAUUCACCCACUGGAUGAUUGUGGUUAGACCCAGUGAGAGGCAACCUUUCUGAAAAAACACAGCAGAGCUGAGAAAAACAAGGUGGAGGAUGCAGCCUGCCUUGCCUCCUUAGGCACUCUGCCGAGGGGCAUCAAUGCUGUAUGUGAAAUAUACGGACUUCUGAGCCCACCCAAAGCCAAGCAGCCUGACCACAGUGGGAUGUGUCCCAUAUAUCCAUGACUCAGUCCAUAGGAGCCCCUUCUGACUGUCUUAAUUUGUACCUUUUUCCCUUUCCUAAUCCAUUUGUAUUAUGUAAAGCAACUACCCAAUCUCAGCAAUUUGAUGCCUUUCCUGUUAAAUAAAUAAAUAAAUAAAUAAAUAAAUAAAUAAAUCUGCAAAUAAUUUAA